This 446-nucleotide long non-coding RNA is filed under the name Theobroma cacao (cacao). Its description in RNAcentral is "long non-coding RNA (TCAC_LNC004886)". Lineage: Eukaryota; Viridiplantae; Streptophyta; Magnoliopsida; Malvales; Malvaceae. The record is from RNAcentral.
UUUUCUAAAAAAAUAGAUUGUUAGUGAUUGUGAUAUGAUUGACAUCAUGAUUUUCAAAACAUUUAAGAAUCUACUAUGUAUGUAAAUAUUCUACUAUGUAUUAGUUUUCAACAAAGGGGAACAAGCACCUUAUGUUUGAAGUCCACUCGAUUACUUCAGUCUUUCGAACUAAUGUGAGUAUAAGAUAUUGUAUGCUUUUUUUUAGAUGCUAUCAUGUCCAUGUUUGGUAUGAUAAAUGCCAAAAGAUUUUGUGUAUGAUGUAAAUUUCAUAUACCAUAUGAGAUGAUUAAGCAUGCAUGAUGAAUACCAUAAGAUUGUAUAUAUGAUGUAAAUUCCACAUAGAAUAUAAGGUGAUUAAGUAUGCAUGAUGAAUGCCAUGAGAUUAUGUAUAUGAUGUGUAUUCCAUAUACUACAUGAGAUGAUUGAGAAAGCAUGAUGAAUGCUAG